UACGUAGGGGGCAAGCGUUAUCCGGAUUCACUGGGCGUAAAGGGAGCGUAGACGGCCAUGCAAGCCUGGAGUGAAAGCCCGGGGCCCAACCCCGGGACUGCUCUGGGAACUGUGCGGCUAGAGUGCGGGAGGGGCAGGCGGAAUUCCUGGUGUAGCGGUGAAAUGCGUAGAUAUCAGGAGGAACACCGGCGGCGAAGGCGGCCUGCUGGACCGCGACUGACGUUGAGGCUCGAAAGCGUG
This 240-nucleotide ribosomal RNA is filed under the name uncultured bacterium. RNAcentral's name for it is "partial 16S ribosomal RNA". It matches the Rfam family "Bacterial small subunit ribosomal RNA", at positions 524 to 763 of the family's 1533-position model. The record is from RNAcentral.